AGUUCCUAUACCACCAAAACGGACCCGUCGUCCUCGCCCCAAACCUAAAACCACAACAACUCCUGAGACUCCUCAUUCUAAACCUGAUCUUGAACCUGGUGCCCUUAGAACGGAAGCUCCUGCAACCAUGGUUCUUGUUACAUCCCUUGAACCUGUCACACUUAGAACCAAGGCUCCUGAAACAUUAGGUAAUGACGCUGUGUUCCUCAAUGCCUGUUUUCUUGCUUAUUGUCAUACUCAUCCCAAAUCGUUAUUUUAAUUAUAUCGUCAUGAGCUUUAUCACAGCCCUGUCAUCUGCU
This is a long non-coding RNA of Nannospalax galili (Upper Galilee mountains blind mole rat), 299 nucleotides long. RefSeq lists it as uncharacterized. The transcript is spliced from 3 exons. The record is from RefSeq and is a predicted model, not a curated record. NCBI's taxonomy places the organism in Eukaryota, Metazoa, Chordata, Mammalia, Rodentia, Spalacidae.